UGUGUUCUACACCUGAGGUAUCUGAAUCGGUGGGGGGUGAGAAAGCUGUUUCUGGAUAAUCCAGUGGUUGUCAGCUAUCCAGGCUUGUAUGAUGCCUGGGAUGGUGUUACACUGCUGGAAGAGCAAGCACUGGCUCCACUGAGUUUUGGCCCCCUGCACUGUUUUGGUGCUGGGGUCAAGAACUCUGAGCAGUGUUUUGCACCUCUGAGAGUGGAAUGACUCCUCCUAUGGAGUUAGUCCUAGUCUGGGUGCAAACAGUUAGUUGAUAUCUGUUAAAAAGGGGUCCUGUCCAGGUACAGGACAGCUUCUCAUUCCUUACCUUGUUGAAUCUAGAUGCCAUCUCCUAAAUGAGAAACCAGCACCUGCUAGCACCUCAGCUGACAGUCCAUGGUGACAUCAGAGGGAAACUGGAAUUAGAUGGCCAAGACAGCUGGUGUAAAUAUUUAAGGGCCCAAGCUGCCUUAAGUAGCAGUUAAUAACCAAAACUACCACUCUUAAUUGCUUCAGCCAAGUUUCAGGUUCCAGUCCUGAACCAUAUUAAGAGGAAACUUUUUAAGGCCACAAGGAGAGAGCUGGAUGGGAAGUGGUGCCCAUAUGGGAUCCUGAUGCAUGCAAGGUGAGGAUUUGGCCCCUAG
This is a long non-coding RNA of Ochotona princeps (American pika), 635 nucleotides long. RefSeq lists it as uncharacterized. NCBI's taxonomy places the organism in Eukaryota, Metazoa, Chordata, Mammalia, Lagomorpha, Ochotonidae. The record is from RefSeq and is a predicted model, not a curated record. The transcript is spliced from 3 exons.